GGGUAAAAAUAUUAUUUGGAUUUAAUUGAAAUUGAUUUUGGAAAAAAUGGGUGAAAAUUUGGAUUUUGGGGGUAUUUUUGAAAAGAAAAUCAGAAACCGGGGGUCAAAACGUAAUUUAGAAAAGUUGUGCCACGUCAGCGGCCCGGUCAGCAGCCCCGCCCAACCAGGACGCGCCGCGUAGCAAAGACACGCUGACCAGGGGACGGGCCACGGGAGCGAUAUGCGUGCGCGCGAUCGG
This 238-nucleotide long non-coding RNA is filed under the name Carica papaya (papaya). RNAcentral's name for it is "long non-coding RNA (CPAP_LNC013975)". The record is from RNAcentral. Lineage: Eukaryota; Viridiplantae; Streptophyta; Magnoliopsida; Brassicales; Caricaceae.